AGUGAACGCUGGCGGUAGGCCUAACACAUGCAAGUCGAACGGCAGCACAGUAAGAGCUUGCUCUUACGGGUGGUGAGUGGCGGACGGGUGAGGAAUACAUCGGAAUCUACUUUUUCGUGGGGGAUAACGUAGGGAAACUUACGCUAAUACCGCAUACGACCUACGGGUGAAAGCAGGGGAUCUUCGGACCUUGCGCGAUUGAAUGAGCCGAUGUCGGAUUAGCUAGUUGGCGGGGUAAAGGCCCACCAAGGCGACGAUCCGUAGCUGGUCUGAGAGGAUGAUCAGCCACACUGGAACUAAGACACGGUCCAGACUCCUACGGGAGGCAGCAGUGGGGAAUAUUGGACAAUGGGCGCAAGCCUGAUCCAGCCAUACCGCGUGGGUGAAGAAGGCCUUCGGGUUGUAAAGCCCUUUUGUUGGGAAAGAAAAGCAGCAGGUUAAUACCCCGCUGUUCUGACGGUACCCGAAGAAUAAGCACCGGCUAACUUCGUG
Molecule: ribosomal RNA, 492 nt
Filed under: uncultured bacterium
Lineage: Bacteria
Description: partial 16S ribosomal RNA
Rfam family: Bacterial small subunit ribosomal RNA
Source: RNAcentral